CGUGCUGCUCAGAGCAGGUAAUCCACCUGAAGCUAAGUAGAUUUGGUCCUGGCCAGUACUUGGAUGGGAGACCAAGUAAGACAGCUGGGUUGCUGCUGGA
RNAcentral lists this ribosomal RNA (100 nucleotides) under Paramormyrops kingsleyae. The record is from RNAcentral. Lineage: Eukaryota; Metazoa; Chordata; Actinopteri; Osteoglossiformes; Mormyridae.